GACGAACGCUGGCGGCGUGCCUAAUACAUGCAAGUUGAGCGCUGAAGGUUGGUACUUGUACCAACUGGAUGAGCAGCGAACGGGUGAGUAACGCGUGGGGAAUCUGCCUUUGAGCGGGGGACAACAUUUGGAAACGAAUGCUAAUACCGCAUAAAAACUUUAAACACAAGUUUUAAGUUUGAAAGAUGCAAUUGCAUCACUCAAAGAUGAUCCCGCGUUGUAUUAGCUAGUUGGUGAGGUAAAGGCUCACCAAGGCGAUGAUACAUAGCCGACCUGAGAGGGUGAUCGGCCCAAUUGGGACUGAGACACGGCCCAAACUCCUACGGGAGGCAGCAGGAGGGAAUCUUCGGAAAUGGACGAAAGUCUGACCGAGCAACGCCGGGGGAGUGAAGAAGGGUUUCGGAUCGUAAAACUCUGUUGGUAGAGAAGAACGUUGGUGAGAGUGGAAAGCUCAUCAAGUGACGGUAACUACACAGAAAGGGACGGCUAACUACGUG
Molecule: ribosomal RNA, 497 nt
Filed under: uncultured bacterium
Lineage: Bacteria
Description: partial 16S ribosomal RNA
Rfam family: Bacterial small subunit ribosomal RNA
Source: RNAcentral